CCUACGGGAGGCACCAGUGGGGAAUCUUGGACAAUGGGCGAAAGCCCGAUCCAGCAAUAUCGCGUGAGUGAAGAAGGGCAAUGCCGCUUGUAAAGCCCUUUCGUCGAGUGCGCGAUCAUGACAGGACUCGAGGAAGAAGCACCGGCUAACUUCGUGCCAGCAGCCGCGGUAAUACGAAGGGUGCAAGCGUUAAUCGGAAUUACUGGGCGUAAAGCGUGAGUAGGCGGUUUGUUAAGUCUGCUGUGAAAGCCCUGGGCUCAACCUGGGAAUGGCAGUGGAAACCGGCGAGCUAGAGUGUGAUAGAGGAUGGUGGAAUUCCCGGUGUAGCGGUGAAAUGCGUAGAGAUCGGGAGGAACAUCAGUGGCGAAGGCGGCCAUCUGGAUCGACACUGACGCUGAGGCACGAAAGCGUGGGGAGCAAACAGGAUUAGAUACCCCAGUAGUC
Molecule: ribosomal RNA, 444 nt
Filed under: uncultured bacterium
Lineage: Bacteria
Description: bacterial SSU rRNA
Rfam family: Bacterial small subunit ribosomal RNA
Source: RNAcentral